This 90-nucleotide transfer RNA is filed under the name bacterium. Its description in RNAcentral is "tRNA-Ser". It matches the Rfam family "tRNA". From Rfam's summary of the family: Transfer RNA (tRNA) molecules are approximately 80 nucleotides in length. Their secondary structure includes four short double-helical elements and three loops (D, anti-codon, and T loops). The record is from RNAcentral.
GGAGAGAUGCCGGAGUGGUCGAUCGGGGCUCCCUGCUAAGGAGUUAGGCUGGCAACGGUCUCCAGGGUUCGAAUCCCUGUCUCUCCGCCA